RNAcentral lists this long non-coding RNA (405 nucleotides) under Homo sapiens (human). RNAcentral's name for it is "HSALNT0207903". The record is from RNAcentral. Lineage: Eukaryota; Metazoa; Chordata; Mammalia; Primates; Hominidae.
AAAGUAUAUGGAGAGAUGGGAUCUUGGCUAUGAUUGAGGAGCUUGGCAGAUGAGUGAUGAUGAGGAGUGCUGAUACAGGAGCUUAGAUGAUUCUAUCCAGGUGAACUGGAACCACCGGAUACUGUGGAGGGUCUCGUCGUUGAUCUCUGUUGUCACAUGCAACUAUAUAGAACAUGUUUGCUGGUGUCUGCGCAUACCUGCAGUUUGAAAUAUUCUGUGGACUUGGAGUUGUGAGGUUACAGUGGAUUAAAGGCACCUGGCUUCCACUGUGGUGACAAUUUUUGCGAGUUUUGUUACUAGGACAGCAAAAGUUGUAAGAAGGAAAGUAUUUUGGUUUUUGCAUCGCCGUUGAUAAUUGUUAAUGACCUGCAUUGCAUUGGUGCAUUGCUGGGAGGUCAUAUUGAU